This is a long non-coding RNA of Osmerus eperlanus (European smelt), 1827 nucleotides long. RefSeq lists it as uncharacterized. Lineage: Eukaryota; Metazoa; Chordata; Actinopteri; Osmeriformes; Osmeridae. The transcript has 4 exons. The record is from RefSeq and is a predicted model, not a curated record.
UGAGCGAAGUGAGAGGAGCGGUAUGUGUUUGCAACCACUGUGAUGUAAACGGAGUUGUGUACUGAAUGUAGAGAAGAAAAAUUGACAUUGAAGUAUCGAUUUCAUCACGCGAGUAUCAAUCAAUACUGAUACCAACGUUGGUAUCGAUACUAUCGAUACUUUAAAUCGAUCCGCCCACCCCUAGUGCGCAUGUAGUCUAGCGCCCAUGCCUUCGAUUCCAGAGAGAUGUCUAUUUCAACGACUAUUUAAGUACCGUAAAAUUUAUUUUCGUCAAGGAGCCUUACUCUGGUGGAUUCCGUGGUUUCUAUUAGGUCUCUCUGCUGCUGCAGGUCAGGAUGGAGGGAAGCUGACUGGAGCAGUAGGAGGAGACAUCACACUUCCUGCUUCAGUAAAAACAUCAGGCUCUUUAGAAUAUAGGGACAAGGAUAUAUGUCAAGUGUUAAAAGGAGACAGUGAAGUCUACAUUGAAGACUUCAGAGAAAGACUCCAGUGGAACAGACAGACUGGACUGUUCACCAUCAGAGAACUCAGGAUAAAUGAUACAGGGCCGUAUACGGUGAAAGAUUCAAUAGGGCAAAACAAUUCUUUAUUUCAUCUGACAGUUUACAACCAGGUCUCCAAACCCCAGGUGAGAGCUGCUGCCCCCUGCUGGGUGGUGUGUUCUGUGGAGAACGGGAGAGACGUGAGCCUGUCCUGGUACAGAGGAGACCAGACCAGCAGUCCUGCAGACCAGCAGUCCUGAUCUCUCCAGGGUCCUGUCUCUGGUCCUGGUUUCAGACUCCAACACUUCCUACAGCUGUGUGGUGGAGAACCCAGUCAGCAGAGAGUCUGUCAACAUGCCAGAUACAUGCAGAACUAUUGGUGAUCCUAAACCAGAUGGUGUUGAAGGAAGACUGUGGGUUCUACUGUUGUUGCUGUGUCCUGUUCUGUAUUCAUCAUUGUGUUUGUUCUACUGGUGGUGUAUCUGAAGAGGAAAACACCAGCACACACACAACAAGGCAGGUAUUUAUCUGUGGGGAACUGUUAGCUGUGAAGCGUGAUCUCCCUCAGUGUCCUGGCUUGUGAUUGGUCCAGUGAUCAGGAGGUAUGUUUGGUACUUUAGAUCUGACGCGUCUCACAUUCAGAGUCUUGCUUGGUGAAACCACACAGUGUUUAGUUUCCUCAGGGAAGAUGAGGGGGGAGUCACUAGAUAAUGUUAGGAGACAGUUCCCUACCCCCCUCUGCAUCUCUGCUUUUAAGCUCUACUCACCUGACGUUGCGAUUGGUCGAGAGAGGUGUCCGUAUAAAGAGCACCCCUAUCAGAACUUCUAUUUUUUAAAUCUGAAUUAUGAUUGGUUGAUAUAGCCCUUCCUGUUCUGUGUGUGUCAGUCUCAUCUCUCCUUCUGACAUCAGUCUCUGUCCUUGUAGGUUCAGACUACUCAGAAGAUGAAGAUCAGUGUUCAGAAUAUACUACUGUUAUUUACAAGAGGAGCGAACAGAUCCAAGACAAGCUGCUGAAAGACACAUACACAUGCUGUUACAAACUUGCAUCAGUUCCAGAACCUUCUUAAAGUUGUAAUUAAAAGUUAAUCUACAGAACGGUAUUUACACUUAUCCGAUGUUACACCGACAUAGUCUCUACCAUUCCAGUAUUAUUCCAUGUGCUUGCAGAACAAUUACCAAUGAAGGCACUUAUGCACUUAAAUAAUAACUUAUGAGACUAAAUGUGUGUUUGUGUGUUUGUGUCAGGUUAGUGUCUGUGUGCAGUUUGUCCUCUUGAUUAAAGCUGCAGGAACCAAGGUUUGGGUUGCCUGGCAACAAGCAUCCAUUCAGCAUCUUUGUCAAAUA